This 422-nucleotide ribosomal RNA is filed under the name uncultured bacterium. Its description in RNAcentral is "bacterial SSU rRNA". It matches the Rfam family "Bacterial small subunit ribosomal RNA", at positions 355 to 774 of the family's 1533-position model. The record is from RNAcentral.
UAAGGAAUAUUGGUCAAUGGACGCAAGUCUGAACCAGCCAUGCCGCGUGGAGGAUGAAGGUCCUCUGGAUUGUAAACUUCUUUUAUCUGGGACGAAACACUUCUUUUCUAAGAGGCCUGACGGUACCAGAUGAAUAAGCACCGGCUAACUCCGUGCCAGCAGCCGCGGUAAUACGGAGGGUGCAAGCGUUAUCCGGAUUCACUGGGUUUAAAGGGUGCGUAGGUGGGUAUGUAAGUCAGUGGUGAAAUCCCCGAGCUUAACUUGGGAACUGCCAUUGAUACUAUAUAUCUUGAAUACCGUAGAGGUAAGCGGAAUAUGUCAUGUAGCGGUGAAAUGCUUAGAUAUGACAUGGAACACCAAUUGCGAAGGCAGCUUACUAUGCGGUGAUUGACACUGAGGCACGAAAGCGUGGGCAGCAAACA